AAUGAACGCUGGCGGCGUGCUUAACACAUGCAAGUCGUACGAGAAAUCCUUAGCUUGCUAGGGAGAGUAAAGUGGCGCACGGGUGAGUAUCGCGUGGGUAAUCUGCCUUUUAGUUGGGAAUAACGUACCGAAAGGUGCGCUAAUACCGGAUAAUACUGAGCAACUACUGUUGCUUAGUCAAAGAAGGCCUCUGUUUACAAGCUUUUGCUGAAAGAUGAGUCCGCGUACCAUUAGCUAGUUGGUAGGGUAAUGGCCUACCAAGGCUACGAUGGUUAGCUGGUCUGAGAGGAUGAUCAGCCACACUGGAACUGAGACACGGUCCAGACUCCUACGGGUGGCUG
Molecule: ribosomal RNA, 341 nt
Filed under: uncultured Pseudomonadota bacterium
Lineage: Bacteria; Pseudomonadati; Pseudomonadota
Description: bacterial SSU rRNA
Rfam family: Bacterial small subunit ribosomal RNA
Source: RNAcentral